GUGAGGAAUAUUGGUCAAUGGACGGAAGUCUGAACCAGCCAUGCCGCGUGAAGGAUGAAGGCGUUCUGCGUUGUAAACUUCUUUUAUCAGAGAAGAAACCACUGAUUUCUAUUAGUGUUGACGGUAUCUGAUGAAUAAGCACCGGCUAACUCCGUGCCAGCAGCCGCGGUAAUACGGAGGGUGCAAGCGUUAUCCGGAUUUACUGGGUUUAAAGGGUGUGUAGGCGGGCUAUUAAGUCAGGGGUGAAAUCCCGGGGCUCAACCUCGGAACUGCCUUUGAUACUAUUAGUCUUGAAUUAUGUUGAGGUUGGCGGAAUAUAACAUGUAGCGGUGAAAUGCAUAGAUAUGUUAUAGAACACCGAUUGCGAAGGCAGCUGGCUAAACAUAUAUUGACGCUGAGGCACGAAAGCGUGGGUAGCGAACAGGAUUAGAUACCCCGGUAGUCC
This 445-nucleotide ribosomal RNA is filed under the name uncultured bacterium. RNAcentral's name for it is "partial 16S ribosomal RNA". It matches the Rfam family "Bacterial small subunit ribosomal RNA", at positions 354 to 796 of the family's 1533-position model. The record is from RNAcentral.